AGUGGCGACCGGGUGAGUAACACGUGACUAACCUACCUUCGAGUGGGGGAUAACCUAGGGAAACCUGGGCUAAUACCGCAUAACAUCUUUGGAGUGGAAAUUCUGAGAUCAAAGGAGCAAUUCGCUUGAAGAGGGGGUCGCGGCUGAUUAGCUAGUUGGGGGGGUAAUGGCCCACCAAGGCUUUGAUCGGUAGCCGGCCUGAGAGGGCGCACGGCCACACUGGAACUGAAACACGGUCCAGACUCCUACGGGAGGCAGCAGUGGGGAAUUUUGCGCAAUGGGGGAAACCCUGACGCAGCAACGCCGCGUGGAGGAUGAAGUCCCUUGGGACGUAAACUCCUUUCGACCGGGACGAUAAUGACGGUACCGGUGGAAGAAGCCCCGGCUAACUUCGUGCCAGCAGCCGCGGUAAUACGAGGGGGGCAAGCGUCGUUCGGAAUUAUUGGGCGUAAAGGGCGCGUAGGCGGUGCGGUAAGUCACCUGUGAAAUCUCCGGGCUUAACUCGGAGUCUGCAGGCGA
This 519-nucleotide ribosomal RNA is filed under the name uncultured bacterium. RNAcentral describes it as "bacterial SSU rRNA". It matches the Rfam family "Bacterial small subunit ribosomal RNA", at positions 94 to 630 of the family's 1533-position model. The record is from RNAcentral.